AUUGAACGCUGGCGGCAUGCUUUACACAUGCAAGUCGAACGGCAGCGCGGGCUUCGGCCUGGCGGCGAGUGGCGAACGGGUGAGUAAUACAUCGGAACGUGCCCAGUAGUGGGGGAUAGCUCGGCGAAAGCCGGAUUAAUACCUCAUACGACCUGAGGGUGAAAGCGGGGGAUCUUCGGACCUCGCGCUAUUGGAGCGGCCGAUGGCAGAUUAGCUAGUUGGUGGGGUAAAGGCCUACCAAGGCGACGAUCUGUAGCUGGUCUGAGAGGACGACCAGCCACACUGGGACUGAGACACGGCCCAGACUCCUACGGGAGGCAGCAGUGGGGAAUUUUGGACAAUGGGCGAAAGCCUGAUCCAGCAAUGCCGCGUGUGUGAUGAAGGCCUUCGGGUUGUAAAGCACUUUUGGCGGGAACGAAAAGGACUGUGCAAAUACCACGGUUCGAUGACGGUACCCGCAGAAUAAGCACCGGCUAACUACGUG
This 484-nucleotide ribosomal RNA is filed under the name uncultured bacterium. RNAcentral describes it as "partial 16S ribosomal RNA". It matches the Rfam family "Bacterial small subunit ribosomal RNA", at positions 29 to 507 of the family's 1533-position model. The record is from RNAcentral.